GGUUAAGCGACUAAGCGUACACGGUGGAUGCCCUGGCAGUCAGAGGCGAUGAAGGACGUGCUAAUCUGCGAUAAGCGUCGGUAAGGUGAUAUGAACCGUUAUAACCGGCGAUUUCCGAAUGGGGAAACCCAGUGUGAUUCGUCACACUAUCAUUAACUGAAUCCAUAGGUUAAUGAGGCGAACCGGGGGAACUGAAACAUCUAAGUACCCCGAGGAAAAGAAAUCAACCGAGAUUCCCCCAGUAGCGGCGAGCGAACGGGGAGCAGCCCAGAGCCUGAAUCAGUGUGUGUGUUAGUGGAAGCGUCUGGAAAGGCGCGCGAUACAGGGUGACAGCCCCGUACACAAAAAUGCACAUACUGUGAGCUCGAUGAGUAGGGCGGGACACGUGGUAUCCUGUCUGAAUAUGGGGGGACCAUCCUCCAAGGCUAAAUACUCCUGACUGACCGAUAGUGAACCAGUACCGUGAGGGAAAGGCGAAAAGAACCCCGGCGAGGGGAGUGAAAAAGAACCUGAAACCGUGUACGUACAAGCAGUGGGAGCACGCUUAGGCGUGUGACUGCGUACCUUUUGUAUAAUGGGUCAGCGACUUAUAUUCUGUAGCAAGGUUAACCGAAUAGGGGAGCCGAAGGGAAACCGAGUCUUAACUGGGCGUUAAGUUGCAGGGUAUAGACCCGAAACCCGGUGAUCUAGCCAUGGGCAGGUUGAAGGUUGGGUAACACUAACUGGAGGACCGAACCGACUAAUGUUGAAAAAUUAGCGGAUGACUUGUGGCUGGGGGUGAAAGGCCAAUCAAACCGGGAGAUAGCUGGUUCUCCCCGAAAGCUAUUUAGGUAGCGCCUCGUGAAUUCAUCUCCGGGGGUAGAGCACUGUUUCGGCAAGGGGGUCAUCCCGACUUACCAACCCGAUGCAAACUGCGAAUACCGGAGAAUGUUAUCACGGGAGACACACGGCGGGUGCUAACGUCCGUCGUGAAGAGGGAAACAACCCAGACCGCCAGCUAAGGUCCCAAAGUCAUGGUUAAGUGGGAAACGAUGUGGGAAGGCCCAGACAGCCAGGAUGUUGGCUUAGAAGCAGCCAUCAUUUAAAGAAAGCGUAAUAGCUCACUGGUCGAGUCGGCCUGCGCGGAAGAUGUAACGGGGCUAAACCAUGCACCGAAGCUGCGGCAGCGACGCUGAUGCGUUGUUGGGUAGGGGAGCGUUCUGUAAGCCUGCGAAGGUGUGCUGUGAGGCAUGCUGGAGGUAUCAGAAGUGCGAAUGCUGACAUAAGUAACGAUAAAGCGGGUGAAAAGCCCGCUCGCCGGAAGACCAAGGGUUCCUGUCCAACGUUAAUCGGGGCAGGGUGAGUCGACCCCUAAGGCGAGGCCGAAAGGCGUAGUCGAUGGGAAACAGGUUAAUAUUCCUGUACUUGGUGUUACUGCGAAGGGGGGACGGAGAAGGCUAUGUUGGCCGGGCGACGGUUGUCCCGGUUUAAGCGUGUAGGCUGGUUUUCCAGGCAAAUCCGGAAAAUCAAGGCUGAGGCGUGAUGACGAGGCACUACGGUGCUGAAGCAACAAAUGCCCUGCUUCCAGGAAAAGCCUCUAAGCAUCAGGUAACAUCAAAUCGUACCCCAAACCGACACAGGUGGUCAGGUAGAGAAUACCAAGGCGCUUGAGAGAACUCGGGUGAAGGAACUAGGCAAAAUGGUGCCGUAACUUCGGGAGAAGGCACGCUGAUAUGUAGGUGAAGUCCCUCGCGGAUGGAGCUGAAAUCAGUCGAAGAUACCAGCUGGCUGCAACUGUUUAUUAAAAACACAGCACUGUGCAAACACGAAAGUGGACGUAUACGGUGUGACGCCUGCCCGGUGCCGGAAGGUUAAUUGAUGGGGUCAGCGCAAGCGAAGCUCUUGAUCGAAGCCCCGGUAAACGGCGGCCGUAACUAUAACGGUCCUAAGGUAGCGAAAUUCCUUGUCGGGUAAGUUCCGACCUGCACGAAUGGCGUAAUGAUGGCCAGGCUGUCUCCACCCGAGACUCAGUGAAAUUGAACUCGCUGUGAAGAUGCAGUGUACCCGCGGCAAGACGGAAAGACCCCGUGAACCUUUACUAUAGCUUGACACUGAACAUUGAGCCUUGAUGUGUAGGAUAGGUGGGAGGCUUUGAAGUGUGGACGCCAGUCUGCAUGGAGCCGGCCUUGAAAUACCACCCUUUAAUGUUUGAUGUUCUAACGUUGACCCGUAAUCCGGGUUGCGGACAGUGUCUGGUGGGUAGUUUGACUGGGGCGGUCUCCUCCUAAAGAGUAACGGAGGAGCACGAAGGUUGGCUAAUCCUGGUCGGACAUCAGGAGGUUAGUGCAAUGGCAUAAGCCAGCUUGACUGCGAGCGUGACGGCGCGAGCAGGUGCGAAAGCAGGUCAUAGUGAUCCGGUGGUUCUGAAUGGAAGGGCCAUCGCUCAACGGAUAAAAGGUACUCCGGGGAUAACAGGCUGAUACCGCCCAAGAGUUCAUAUCGACGGCGGUGUUUGGCACCUCGAUGUCGGCUCAUCACAUCCUGGGGCUGAAGUAGGUCCCAAGGGUAUGGCUGUUCGCCAUUUAAAGUGGUACGCGAGCUGGGUUUAGAACGUCGUGAGACAGUUCGGUCCCUAUCUGCCGUGGGCGCUGGAGAACUGAGGGGGGCUGCUCCUAGUACGAGAGGACCGGAGUGGACGCAUCACUGGUGUUCGGGUUGUCAUGCCAAUGGCACUGCCCGGUAGCUAAAUGCGGAAGAGAUAAGUGCUGAAAGCAUCUAAGCACGAAACUUGCCCCGAGAUGAGUUCUCCCUGACCCUUUAAGGGUCCUGAAGGAACGUUGAAGACGACGACGUUGAUAGGCCGGGUGUGUAAGCGCAGCGAUGCGUUGAGCUAACCGGUACUAAUGAACCGUGAGGCUUAACCUU
RNAcentral lists this ribosomal RNA (2904 nucleotides) under Escherichia coli. RNAcentral's name for it is "23S ribosomal RNA". It matches the Rfam family "Bacterial large subunit ribosomal RNA". The record is from RNAcentral. Lineage: Bacteria; Pseudomonadati; Pseudomonadota; Gammaproteobacteria; Enterobacterales; Enterobacteriaceae.